Molecule: ribosomal RNA, 401 nt
Filed under: uncultured bacterium
Lineage: Bacteria
Description: bacterial SSU rRNA
Rfam family: Bacterial small subunit ribosomal RNA
Source: RNAcentral
ACAUGCAAGUCGAACGAAGUAGCAAUACUUAGUGGCAGACGGGUGAGUAACAUGUAGGUAUCUGCCCUUUGGCCUGGAAUAACACGAGGAAACUUGUGCUAAUACCGGAUAAGUCUUUACGGAGAAAGCUUUAUGCACCAUUGGAUGAGCCUGCACUUGAUUAGUUUGUUGGUAGGGUAAUGGCCUACCAAGACUGUGAUCAAUAGCUGAUUUGAGAGGAUGAUCAGCCACAUUGGGACUGAGACACGGCCCAAACUCCUACGGGAGGCAGCAGUGGGGAAUCUUGCACAAUGGAGGAAACUCUGAUGCAGCGAUGCCGCGUGAGUGAAGAAGGCCCUUGGGUUGUAAAGCUCUUUCGUCGGGGAAGAAAAUGACUGUACCCGAAUAAGAAGGUCCGGCUA